GACGAACGCUGGCGGCGUGCCUAAUACAUGCAAGUAGAACGCUGAAGGAGGAGCUUGCUUCUCUGGAUGAGUUGCGAACGGGUGAGUAACGCGUAGGUAACCUGCCUGGUAGCGGGGGAUAACUAUUGGAAACGAUAGCUAAUACCGCAUAAGAGUAGAUGUUGCAUGACAUUUGCUUAAAAGGUGCAAUUGCAUCACUACCAGAUGGACCUGCGUUGUAUUAGCUAGUUGGUGAGGUAACGGCUCACCAAGGCAACGAUACAUAGCCGACCUGAGAGGGUGAUCGGCCACACUGGGACUGAGACACGGCCCAGACUCCUACGGGAGGCAGCAGUAGGGAAUCUUCGGCAAUGGACGGAAGUCUGACCGAGCAACGCCGCGUGAGUGAAGAAGGGUUUCGGAUCGUAAAGCUCUGUUGUAAGAGAAGAACGAGUGUGAGAGUGGAAAGUUCACACUGUGACGGUAUCUUACCAGAAAGGGACGGCUAACUACGUG
RNAcentral lists this ribosomal RNA (495 nucleotides) under uncultured bacterium. RNAcentral describes it as "partial 16S ribosomal RNA". It matches the Rfam family "Bacterial small subunit ribosomal RNA", at positions 28 to 507 of the family's 1533-position model. The record is from RNAcentral.